AGCUCACCCCUCUCCCCUAACCCCAGGUUUGCAGGGUCAGAGAUAGUCAGGAGAUCAGCAGGUUACGUCCAUGGUCAUGUUUAUGUAAUAGAAUAGUAGUGGACAUGAUGUAAUGUAAGGUUAUGUAUUGAUGUAAAAAGAGUUAUAUUGUAAUAUGACUUUUUGUUAUAUGUUCAGAGUUAUAGUAUUGUGCUUGGCCCGAGUUGGUUAAUCCCUUUAUACAUGAGUUUUAUUUUAUGUCGUUUCAUGUGAUGGACCGAGUUUGACAAAGGGUAUGCUGACCCUAGGGGUUCUAUGAGUUCAGUCAUAGUGCAUAC
RNAcentral lists this long non-coding RNA (317 nucleotides) under Manihot esculenta (cassava). RNAcentral's name for it is "long non-coding RNA (MESC_LNC010357)". The record is from RNAcentral. Lineage: Eukaryota; Viridiplantae; Streptophyta; Magnoliopsida; Malpighiales; Euphorbiaceae.